UCCGUAGGGUCCAAGCGUUAUCCGGAAUCACUGGGCGUAAAGCGUGCGUAGGUGGCGUGUUAAGUGUGAUGUUAAAUCGUGUGGCUCAACCAUAUCGAUGUGUCGCAUACUGGCAUGCUAGAGGGAAGCAGAGGCAAGUGGAAUUUGUAGUGUAGCAGUGAAAUGCGUAGAUAUUACAAGGAACACCAAUGGCGAAGGCAGCUUGCUGGGCUUCUUCUGACACUGAGGUACGAAAGCGUGGGGAGCGAACAGG
Molecule: ribosomal RNA, 253 nt
Filed under: uncultured bacterium
Lineage: Bacteria
Description: partial 16S ribosomal RNA
Rfam family: Bacterial small subunit ribosomal RNA
Source: RNAcentral